This 802-nucleotide ribosomal RNA is filed under the name uncultured bacterium. RNAcentral describes it as "bacterial SSU rRNA". It matches the Rfam family "Bacterial small subunit ribosomal RNA", at positions 95 to 899 of the family's 1533-position model. The record is from RNAcentral.
CCGGCGCACGGGUGCGUAACACGUAUGCAACCUACCUUUUACUGGGGUAUAGCUCAGAGAAAUCUGAAUUAAUCCCCCAUAACAAUAGAUCAUGGCAUCAUGGACUAUUUAAAGCUGAGGCGGUAAAAGAUGGGCAUGCGGUGUAUUAGCUAGUUGGUGAGGUAAUGGCUCACCAAGGCUACGAUACGUAGGGGUUCUGAGAGGAUGAUCCCCCACACUGGUACUGAGACACGGACCAGACUCCUACGGGAGGCAGCAGUAGGGAAUAUUGGUCAAUGGACGCAAGUCUGAACCAGCCAUGCCGCGUGCAGGAUGACGGCCCUCUGGGUUGUAAACUGCUUUUAUAUGGGAAGAAACCUUCGGAUGCGUUGAAGCUGACGGUACCAUAUGAAUAAGGAUCGGCUAACUUCGUGCCAGCAGCCGCGGUAAGACGAAGGAUCCAAGCGUUGUCCGGAUUUACUGGGUUCAAAGGGUGCGUAGGCGGAAAAUUAAGUCAGUGGUGAAAGCCCGCAGCUCAACUGCGGAACUGCCAAUGAAACUGAUUUUCUUGAAUACGGUUGAGGUAGAUGGAAUAUAACAUGUAGCGGUGAAAUGCUUAGAUAUGUUAUAGAACACCAAUUGCGAAGGCAGUCUACUAAGCCGUGAUUGACGCUGAGGCACGAAAGCGUGGGGAGCGAACAGGAUUAGAUACCCUGGUAGUCCACGCCCUAAACGUUGAUUACUCGCUGUUGGCAAUACACUGUCAGCGGCUAAGCGAAAGCGUUAAGUAAUCCACCUGGGAAGUACGACCGCAAGGUUGAAA